UUACCACUUUGUGAUUCAUGACUGGGGUGAAGUCGUAACAAGGUAACCGUAGGGGAACCUGCGGUUGGAUCACCUCCUUACC
RNAcentral lists this ribosomal RNA (82 nucleotides) under Providencia alcalifaciens. RNAcentral describes it as "partial 16S ribosomal RNA". It matches the Rfam family "Bacterial small subunit ribosomal RNA", at positions 1454 to 1533 of the family's 1533-position model. The record is from RNAcentral. Lineage: Bacteria; Pseudomonadati; Pseudomonadota; Gammaproteobacteria; Enterobacterales; Morganellaceae.